UGAAACAAUGUAUCUUUAACAAGUAUCACAUCAAAGUAAGCGGAAAUAAACAACUGGGCAAUCUCCCACAGGAAGAUGACCGGCGCGUCGUUAGACUUAGAAAUCAUCGUCGUCGAUAAAAUCUUCAUCAAAGUCUCCAGCAUCACCCUCUGAUCAAAAUUAAGCAAGGGUGAGCUCACUUAUGGUCGGGGCUCAGCAAGUGGGGGAAAAACUAAUGCAGGUAUAACAAGGUGAGGCUAAGGUUGAGCAGUAAGCAUUUUAGUUGGUCAACAUUUUAUUAACAACACAUGUCUUACUAAUAAGUGUGAAUCCCAAAUAUCCCAUUUAAACAAAGGAAUAUGAGUAUAACAAAAACAUUUAAGUGAAACCACUUAAGCAAAUUAUUGGCAGAUCAUCGGAUCUCAAUUUAAUUUCAUCUUCAAGUUCAAUUAUCAUGUGAGGAGUCCAGGUCGCUCAUAACCGGGAGCACGGCUGAUAUAUCAGUUUUACACUCUGCAGAGGUGGUACAACUUUACCCACAAGCCAUGUAUCCCAUCUAGCCCGGGUUGAUCGGACCCUUAAACACUGCCGAGGUGAAUGGCUAGGGAUCCAUUAUGAGGCUUUCACAAAAUACCUUAAUACGAAGCAACCCGCUAAGGUUUCUAAAGACGAUGGUGGUGGCCCCCUGGGUGAAGUACCUUAGCCAAGAAUACGACCCCAUGUUAACGUGGGCUGCCAGUACCUACCGCUCCCCCUCUUGCCCAUCUUUCAGGUAAGGUUGCUAGGCACUAAGCAUAUAGAGCUAAUUACCAAAGCCAGAGCCAUGAUAGCACUCGUGGUUGCACUGUUAUCCUGGGUGGUCACUCCAUGUUCCAAUUAAAUUUGCAAUAAAGUUAUCUUAACCAUCGGGUUAAUGUCAUAAUUGCCAAUUAAAUUCUUGGAACAUUAAAACCAAUUAAUGAGUGACAUUAGGAACCAUUAAGUUGAGCGGUAGCAUUAAUCUUGCACAGCUUAAUUAUUUCCCCAGGUUAAACAAGGAAUACAGGUAGUAAAUCUAGGAAAUCCUUAAUUAGGUUAUCCCAUCAAAUUAUGCAAUAUAUCAAAAGGUAAAUAUUAUUAUAUGCAAUGAAUAGGUACAAACAGAAUAUGCAGAGGGAGAAUCCACUUGCCUUGCUCAAAAGUUUCCUGUGGGUCGUCCUCAAACAGAUUCGGAUCCUCUACCACACAAUCAGCUUCUAGUAUAAUCGCAAAUCAUACAUAUAAAAAGAAAACAUACACCAAUAAAUAAACAUACACCAUUCAACAAACAAUAAAAAAACAUAUAUUAUCCUAAACACACUCAUCCAAGAAAACAUUUGUAAUAAUCCAAACUUGGUUUGUAAAUUUAUAAUGUAAAUCUAAUCGUACUAAAGUUCAUUAUGAGAACAUUCAUUGUUUUAUUAAGAAAACUCAUGGGCUUUGUAUUUCUAUCAAUAAAUAUAUAUAUUCCAGUUAAUACGUAAACCAUCAUUUAAAAAAAACAUGAAUCACUAAUUAUUCUAUUUUAACUUUUCUCUAGAAAAAACUAUGUGCAAGUUAAAUAUGGAUAAGCGUACCACAUAAAUCAAUUUGUGCAAACUUAAAAAUAAGGCUAAACCAAACUUUAUGGGAAUAGAUAAUUAAAUAAAUAAUUACUUUUAUAAAUAAACAUAGGCUUAUAUAUAUGUAUAUAUUUAACUUCGCAUUUAGAAAACCAUUUUUAACGCAACUACCAUAAUUGAAUAUACUAAAUACUAUCACGAGAUAAUGGAAAUUAUAGUAAGACUAAGAUUAACAUAUAUUUAUGGGAUUAUUCACAUAUAAAAUAACUCAUUUAAAUUUAAUAUACAUGUUUUGUUUGAGAACUACCGCAGCAGCAUGGGCAAAUACAUAGUUAAAGAUAGACUUCAGGGAUUAGCUUGCAAAUCAACCAUUAUCUACUACCUCAGCUUCUAGCUUCUUCCCUGUUCCAAGUGCAGCAGGGAACCAUGUCGGACGAUGGGGGCUGGACAGGGGAAGUCGACGCAGGGGUGGUGAUGUGUUGGGAACGACCGACGAUUGGAGCUGCGCACCAGCGGCGAGGUCAAAGGGAAGCGCGUUGUCGGGCUUCGAAGCGUCCUCACCGGCGGCGGUGAACAGCAGCAACAGCGUGGCGACUUCGUGGGCAGCGAGUAGGGACACGGAGGUGGAAAAUGGGGGUCGGGGCAGGUGCUUGAAGGCGUGGGCUUCUCAAUUUAUAGGCGACGGGAGAGGAAGAUUUGUGGCCGAAUUAAUGUGGAUUGAAGAUGAGAAACGGAGGAUUUGAACGCCAUUAAUGGAGGAAACGGUCGGUUCUAAUGGGCCAGUAAUCCGAGCUGUAAAGGAGGAGAAGAGGGGAGAGCACCAGGGGAGGGAGAAGGUCGAUGGUUCCACGUCCAGUGGCGGCGGCAGCUAUUGCUGUGUUCUGCGAAUAGAACGACGGAAGAGAAAAUUGGGGAGAAGAGGAAUAGUGACUAGUGGGGCCCGCUUGGAAACAAGGGAACGGCAGGGGCUAUGUCCGCAGGGGAGAGAAAAAGUAAAUGUCGUGUGGGGCCCACAAUGCAGCCAAUGAGAGAGAGGAAGCGUUUAUCACGUUAAGCGUUUCAAAUUUGUUUUUUUUCUAUUUCUUUUCUAAAUUCAAAAUACAUUUUUAAAUAACUCUAAAAUUUAUAAUAAUUAAACCAAAACUAUUUAUAAAUAAAAUAUUUAUUUUUAGACUAAUAAUUAUUAUAUAAUUUUACUAGGAUUUUCCUAUAAGAAGAAAUGCUAUUAAAUAUCCACAAAUCAAUCAGGCGCAAUCAAAAAUUAUUUUAAAUGCAAAUAAAUAAUAAAACACUUGAAUAAAAAUUUAUUACCCUAAUUACCAUAAUAACUAAAUGCAUUAUUUUUAGUUGAUGACUUUUAUGGUGUUACAAACCUACCCCUCUUAAAAAGAAUCUCGUCCUCGAGAUUAAGAAACUUCCGAGAAUAACUGGGGGAAUUCUGCUCUGAGUUCAUCUUCUCUUUCCCAAGUGGCCUCAUCUUCCGAAUGAUGACUCCACUGAACUUUGCACGUGUUAAUAACUUUACUCCGUGUAAUUCUGCGAGAUGUUUCUAGAAUUCUGACCGGGUACUCCGAAUAGGUCAAAUCCUCAUUGACAUUCAGUUCUUCCAUGAGUAACUGUUCUUCUGGUACUCUUAAGCACUUCUUAAGUUGUGAUACGUGAAAUACGUCAUGCACAUCCGAUAAUCUAUUGGGUAGCUCUAACUGGUAGGCUACAUCACCUUUUCUUUCCAAAAUCUUGAACGGGCCAAUAUAGCGAGGUGAUAGUUUUCCCUUAACCUUAAACCUUUUCAUUCCUCUCAUCGGUGAAACUUUAAGGUAUACGAAGUCUCCUACUUCAAACGUCAAUUCUCUUCUUCUAUUAUCAGCAUAGCUUUUCUGUCUUGACUGUGCUGUCUUCAAAUUUUCUCUGAUAAUCUGCACUUGCUUUUCCGCCUCUUGGAGAAUUUCUGGACCAAAUACUUGACUUUCUCCAGUUUGAUUCCAAUAAAGUGGUGUUCUACACUUUCGUCCAUAUAGUGCUUCAAACGGUGCCAUUUUGAGACUUGCUUGAUAACUGUUGUUAUACGAAAAUUCUGCAUAAGGCAAACUUUUAUCCCAGCUUCUACCAUGCCUUAGAGCGCAAGCUCUUAGCAUAUCUUCCAACACUUGGUUCGUUCUUUCCGUUUGCCCAUCCGUUUGGGGAUGAUAAGCUGAACUAAAGUUUAGCUUGGUAUCCAUGGACUCAUGAAGUCUUUUCCAAAAGCGCGAGGUAAACUGGGUUCCUUGAUCGGAUACGAUCUUCUUCGGUACUCCAUGCAGACAGACAAUCCUCGACAUGUAUAACUCUGCUAACUGGGCUCCUGAGUAAGUUGUCUUCACAGGUAUAAAGUGUGCUACUUUAGUUAACCUGUCUACUAUGAGCCAUAUUGAAUCAUAGCCAUCUCGAGUACGGGGUAGUCCAACUAUGAAAUCCAUACUGAUUUCUUCCCAUUUCCAUUCCGGUACCUUGAGAGGUUGUAGCAAUCCUGCUGGUCUUUGGUGUUCAGCUUUAACUCGCUGACACACGUCACAUAAUGCAACAUGAGUAGCAACAUCUCUUUUCAAACCGUACCACCAAUACUUUUAUUUAAGGUCCUGGUACAUCUUUGUACUUCCAGGGUGAAUAGAGUAAGUUGAAUCAUGAGCUUCUCUCAAAAUAAGUUGGCGCAAGUGCUCGAUUUCUGGUACACAGAUUCUCUUCUUAAACCAUAUUGUGCCUUGUUCAUCUUCCGUGAAAUCUGGGGCUUUACCCAAACUAAUCAAAGUUUUAAUUUCCUUAAUCUUCUCAUCGGACUCUUGUCCUUUACGAAUCUCUUCUUCCAAAGUAGAUUUGACUUCCAUCACCGUUGCUUCUACAUUAUUGAGAAAUCCAAGGUUGAGUCGUUCCAUUUCCUAGCACAAUUCUUGUGACAUCAAAUGAGUAGUAACGUUGUUCACUUGACCCUUACGGCUCAAAGCAUCAGCUAAUACAUUUGCUUUUCCGGGGUGAUAUUGUAUCUCCAAAUCAUAGUCUUUAAUCAACUCAAGCCAUCUUCUUUGUCUGAGGUUGAGUUCCUUCUGAGUGAAUAUAUAUUUCAAGCUUUUAUGAUCUGUGAAGAUUUUGCACUUGUUUCCAAUCAUAUAGUGCCUCCAAAUCUUCAAAGCAUGCACUACGGCAGCUAGUUCCAAAUCAUGCGUAGGAUAAUUCUUCUCAUGUUUCCUCAACUGUCUUGAAGCAUAAGCAAUCACCUUUCCUUCUUGUAUUAGCACACAUCCAAGUCCAAGGUGUGAUGCAUCGCAAUAUACAUCAAAUCCCUUGUGGAUGUCUAGCAUUACCAGUAUUGGUGCAGUGGUUAACCUCUUCUUGAGUUCCUCAAAACAAUUUUGACAAGCUUCAUCCCAUUUGAACUCUUUGCCUUUCUCCAGUAGAGAGGUAAGUGGUUUUACUAACUUGGAAAAACCUUCAAUAAAUCUUCUAUAGUAUCCCGCCAAUCCAAGAAAACUUCUGAUCUUGGACGCAUCCUUUGGUUGCUUCCAAUCUAGUAUCUCACUUAUCUUUCCUGGGUCCACUUUAAUUCCACCAUCGGUAACAAUAUGCCCUAAGAAAGCAACUUCCUUCAACCAAAAAUCACACUUAGAGAACUUUGCGUACAGUUGGUUGUCACGAAGUUUUUGUAGGACUAGCCUUAGAUGAUCCUCGUGUGUUUCUUCAUUCGGAGAAUAUAUCAGUAUGUCGUCAAUAAAUACGACCACAAACUGAUCCAGAUAUUCCAUGAAUACUUUAUUCAUCAAGUUCAUAAAGUAUGCUGGUGCAUUAGUCAGUCCAAACGACAUGACCAAAAACUCAUAUAAUCCAUAUCUCGUCGUGAAGGUUGUCUUCGGUACAUCUUCUGCUCGAUUCUUUAACUGAUGAUACCCCGAUCUCAGAUCUAUCUUCGAGAAUACCUUAGCUCCUUUCAUUUGAUCGAAUAAAUCUUCAAUCCGAGGUAACGGGUAUUUAUUCUUGAUGGUUACUUCAUUCAAACUUCUAUAAUCAACGCACAUUCUCCUCGAACCAUCCUUCUUGUUCACAAAUAGCACUGGGGCUCCCCAAGGGGAUGAACUUGGGCGAAUGAAACCUUUUUCUAGUAAUUCUUCUAUUUGUUUCUUCAGUUCUACUAAAUUUGUAACAUCCAUUCUAUAAGGUCUUUUCGAGAUAGGUGCGGUUCCGGGUAAUAAUUCAAUAGAAAACUCUAUAUCACGGUCAGGUGGCAUACCUGGCAAUUCCUCCGGAAAUACGUCUGGGUAUUCGCACACUACUUUGAUAUUUUCCAAGGGCUUUUCUUCCAAGUGAUUGAUCACUGUCUUCCCUUUUUCAUCUGUUGACUUGUCUAUGUUAACUUGGAUUCUUUCACCUUGAAGACUUGUCAACAUAAUUGUUCCAUUGGCACACUGUAUCACUCCAUAUCACAACUUUUCAACCAGUUGCAUCCAAGAAUCACAUUAAUACCAUUGGAUCCUAGGACCACUGGGUUGACUGAGAAAUCUAUUCCUUGAAUCUUGAGAUUAACAUGGGGGCAUGAGUGUGUGGCCUUCAUGUCACACCCCGGUGAACUAAUGUGUAACAUCUUCUUAAGGGGGUACUUAGGUAUGUUGUGUUUUUCCACAAAUGACUCCGUUAUAAAGGAAUGUGAUGCUCCAGAGUCAAAUAAAACUGAUGCAGGUAUGGAGUUAACAAGGAACAUGCCAUACACUAUGUCGGCAUCCUCAGGCACUGAUUCUGCAGUGACGUGAUUGACCCUUCCUCUACUCUGGUUCUGCGGAGCUUUGUUCUGAGCAGAUCCACGAGCAGGGGGUGUUCUAGUCAUUCCUCUGGUUACUGCUUUUCUGGGGUGUCUGCUGUAAAGGCAUCCCACCAGUCGGACGCGGCUCCCUCGAGUCUUCCCGAGGCGUACAAGACCUUCUCCCGGUCGUUGCACUGGGUAAUAUCCAACUUAUUUCCAAUGACCUUGAUCCAGUCAUCGGCAUCCAAAGGAUCAACCGCAUGGAGAACGUUGACGGGUGAUGACUCAUAAAAUCCCGGUGUUUAUCUCUGGUCGGGGGUGCAUUUUGCUGUUGUUGCUGAUGCUGUUGAUUCAGCUGGUUCUGCUGAAUCUGUUGAACAGUUGCAGUGAGUCCUUGUAGUAACUGCAUCUGGGCAGUGAUGAACUGUUCCAUGUUGGGGUUCAGUGGUGGUGGUGGUAUCUGUUGACCACGCUGGUUCCGGUUGUUGUUGGGUCCUGAAUGGGCGUUCACCAUCUGAUUGGUUAGAUAGUGAAAUCCUUAGAAGAGUGAGGAGUAGAAAAGAUUCUAGAGGGGAAUAUCUUAAGUUUAAAUUUUUAUAUGUUCUUAUGUCCAUCAUUCCAUAAGACCAUUGCACUCAAGCAAGAAUCCAAAUCAAACAUUGCAAACAUCACCAUCACAUUGUUGUUAUUAUUAUAGUAUAACACUGUUUUAUCGUCUACUGCGUCUAGCUUAUUUCCAUAAACUAUCCUAUCAACCUAAAGGAGUAUGGUGAUAGACUCAGGGGUUCCAUAACAAAGCCUUCCAAAAAGAAUGAGAUAAAGCAGAGAAAGACGUUUCCUCUUCAUCAUCCAAAGGUGGGGUAGAGGGUGCUGGCCGAUCUUGAGCAACAUAGGCGAUACUUUUGUAAGCAGUUCUUCUGAUAGCAACCUUCUGAUAGACGAGAGAAAAUCAUACUAGAAGAGUUGAAUAUAAAGGAGUUGAGUUUUGAGAUAAAUUAAGUUUUUUAUGGAGGAAAAUAACUCAAGUUUUGAAAAACUAACUAGGCUUUCCAUUUCUAACUAGUCUAACGACCUAGGGUCGGCAUAGCUUUGAUACCACUUCUGUCACACCCGGUUCCAGGGGGUAGAACCGAGCGCAUACCAUAUGUGUGCCAGGAUCCAUUUCCACACAUAUGUUGACGUCACAAGUGUAAUAUAUCAAAAGACAAUGCAAUAAAGGCGUAAAGAGAGUAUAAUACUUUAUUACAUCAUCUGAAACAAUGUAUCUUUAACAAGUAUCACAUCAAAGUAAGCGGAAAUAAACAACUGGGCAAUCUCCCACAUGAAGAUGACCGGCGCGUCGUUAGACUUAGAAAUCAUCGUCGUCGAUAAAAUCUUCAUCAAAGUCUCCAGCAUCACCCUCUGAUCAAAAUUAAGCAAGGGUGAGCUCACUUAUGGUCGGGGCUCAGCAAGUGGGGGAAAAACUAAUGCAGGUAUAACAAGGUGAGGCUAAGGUUGAGCAGUAAGCAUUUUAGUUGGUCAACAUUUUAUUAACAACACCUGUCUUACUAAUAAGUGUGAAUCCCAAAUAUCCCAUUUAAACAAAGGAAUAUGAGUAUAACAAAAACACUUAAGUGAAACCACUUAAGCAAAUUAUUGGCAGAUCAUCGGAUCUCAAUUUAAUUCCAUCUUCAAGUUCA
Molecule: long non-coding RNA, 8000 nt
Filed under: Zea mays
Lineage: Eukaryota; Viridiplantae; Streptophyta; Magnoliopsida; Poales; Poaceae
Description: long non-coding RNA (ZMAY_LNC000936)
Source: RNAcentral